UAGGGAAUCUUCGGCAAUGGGGGGAACCCUGACCGAGCAACGCCGCGUGAGUGAAGAAGGUUUUCGGAUCGUAAAGCUCUGUUGUUAAGGAAGAACGAGUGUGAGAAUGGAAAGUUCAUGCUGUGACGGUACUUAACCAGAAAGGGACGGCUAACUCCGUGCCAGCAGCCGCGGUAAUACGUAGGUCCCGAGCGUUGUCCGGAUUUAUUGGGCGUAAAGCGAGCGCAGGCGGUUAGAAAAGUCUGAAGUGAAAGGCAGUGGCUCAACCAUUGUAGGCUUUGGAAACUGUUUAACUUGAGUGCAGAAGGGGAGAGUGGAAUUCCAUGUGUAGCGGUGAAAUGCGUAGAUAUAUGGAGGAACACCGGUGGCGAAAGCGGCUCUCUGGUCUGUAGCUGACGCGGAGGCUCGAAAGCGUGGGGAGCGAACAGG
RNAcentral lists this ribosomal RNA (429 nucleotides) under Bacteroidota bacterium. RNAcentral's name for it is "Bacteroidetes bacterium partial 16S ribosomal RNA". It matches the Rfam family "Bacterial small subunit ribosomal RNA", at positions 355 to 776 of the family's 1533-position model. Lineage: Bacteria; Pseudomonadati; Bacteroidota. The record is from RNAcentral.